UUUAGUGCUCAUGAAGUAAAGCUUAUUUGCUUAUUCAAAGUACAGGUAUAAAAUGAGCACCAGCUGUCCAUCCUUCCCCACACUGCCCCUGAGACGGCCCUGAACCACCUCAACCUGGAGAAUCCAUCUCCAGAGGUCAGAGGGGUGGUCAUGCUCCAUGCCCAUUCAAUCCUUUGGCUCU
RNAcentral lists this small RNA (181 nucleotides) under Chelonoidis abingdonii (Abingdon island giant tortoise). RNAcentral's name for it is "TUC338 (ENSCABG00000006295.1)". Lineage: Eukaryota; Metazoa; Chordata; Testudines; Testudinidae. The record is from RNAcentral.